AGAGUUUGAUCCUGGCUCAGAAUCAACGCUGGCGGCGUGCCUCAGACAUGCAAGUCGAACGCGAAAGCUCCUUCGGCGCCUGAGUACAGCGGCGCACGGGUGCGUAACACGUGGGCAAUCUGUCCUGAAGAUGGGGAUAACCCAGCGAAAGUUGGGCUAAUACCGAAUAAGACUACAGGAGGCAACUCCCGUGGUUAAAGGGUGCUCUCUGCGGGGAGCAUGCGCUUGAGGAGGAGCCCGCGGCCUAUCAGCUAGUUGGUAGGGUCACGGCCUACCAAGGCGAAGACGGGCAGCUGGUCUGAGAGGAUGACCAGCCACACGGGGACUGAGACACGGCCCCGACUCCUACGGGAGGCAGCAGUGGGGAAUAUUGGGCAAUGGGGGAAACCCUGACCCAGCGACGCCGCGUGGGUGAUGAAGGCCUUCGGGUCGUAAAGCCCUGUCGGGCGGAACGAAGGCCUCACGGCAAAUAGCCGUGAGAGGUGACGGUACCGCCGAAGAAGCCCCA
This 508-nucleotide ribosomal RNA is filed under the name uncultured soil bacterium. Its description in RNAcentral is "bacterial SSU rRNA". It matches the Rfam family "Bacterial small subunit ribosomal RNA", at positions 8 to 495 of the family's 1533-position model. The record is from RNAcentral.